RNAcentral lists this ribosomal RNA (406 nucleotides) under uncultured bacterium. RNAcentral's name for it is "partial 16S ribosomal RNA". It matches the Rfam family "Bacterial small subunit ribosomal RNA", at positions 30 to 526 of the family's 1533-position model. The record is from RNAcentral.
AUUGAACGCUGGCGGCAGGCCUAACACAUGCAAGUCGAACGAGUGGCGGACGGGUGAGUAAUGUCUGGGAAACUGCCUGAUGGAGGGGGAUAACUACUGGAAACGGUAGCUAAUACCGCAUAACCUCAGAGUUGCCCAGAUGUGAUUAGCUUGUUGGUGGGGUAACGGCUCAACAAGGCGCCGAUACCGAGCUGGUCAGAGAGGAUGACCCGCCACACUGGAACUGAGAAACGGUCCAGACUCCUAAGGGAGGCAGCAGUGGGGAAUAUUGCACAAUGGGCGCAAGCCUGAUGCAGCCAUGCCGCGUGUAUGAAGAAGGCCGUCGGGUUGUAAAGUGCUUUCAGCGGGGAGGCGUUACCCGCUGAGGAAGCACCGGCUAACUCCGUGACAGCAGCCGCGGUAAUAC